RNAcentral lists this unclassified non-coding RNA (2712 nucleotides) under Hevea brasiliensis (rubber tree). Lineage: Eukaryota; Viridiplantae; Streptophyta; Magnoliopsida; Malpighiales; Euphorbiaceae. The record is from RNAcentral.
UCUCUCUCUAUAUAUAUAAAUAUAUACGUAAAGUUUUGAAAUCAAACAAAGGAUUACAGUUCUAGUUUAAAACAAAAUCAAUGUGCUUACAUCUUCAAUUUACUACAUCAAUCACAACGAUUCCCUUCUAAGUUGGUUUCAUUUAUUGUGGUUACUCUCCUUCCUUGGUGAGAGAGAACAGGUCGCCUCUGCAGAGGAAUUCAUUCUAUUGGAUUCUGCAUAGCAGAUUCAGGAGAUUUCUUGCCCAUGUUGUAUGGUGCUGCACUCAUCACCCUACAUGCACAAACAAAGGUCUCAAAUCAAUUACGAGUCUUGGUAGUCUUGAUUGAAGUCAUUGUCAUAGUAAAAAUGAGGCUCUGGAAAAUGUUAACAUUAUAAGUGGCAGUAGAACGUUUUUCUAGUAAUAUACUUAUACAUCAUUUAAAAGUAUAGUUACAGGAUGUUCUCAUGCAAAACCUAGGUUCUCCCUGCCAAAACAUCUUACUUCCACCACUACUAAAGUAUUAUAGUUAGAAAAAUAAUUGCAAAUAGGUCCUCUCCUAAACAGACUUAGGUCAUGAUCAAGAAACAAGCUACAUCCACAUAAAGGAAUAUUUAUUGCAUCAUAUUCUCUAUUAAUAUCACCUGAAUGUGGCUGGCACAUGUGCCCCAGAAUGGCAGAACCUCAAGCAAAAAAAACCAACUUUGAAAAUUACCAAUGCAGAAGUGUUUCCAACUAAAAGCCCCAAACAUCUUCAAAAUAAUAUUCAGUCAUUCACUGAAUAAAAGUCAAGAUAUGGCAAGCAAAAUUAUUUAACCCCGACUAGUUUGGGAUUAAGGUUUAGCUAGGUUGAGUUAUAUACUGCUGACAAAGUGACAGGAUAAAGAGUGCAUACAUUUCCACAGAUCAUCACCUUGUUUACCAUCCAUAAUGGGUCAACAAUUUUUCAUUAGAUGUGAGGGAUCAGUCAAUUCAUAAUCAAAUUGUGAAAAAAUAUUUCUUCUUUUGCUUGAAUUUAUACAACUUACCUCUCCUUGCGCUUCUCCAAAAACCGAGCCAAGGAUGCCUUACGAGCUUGGGGCACUGCUGCACAAGAAUUUAGAGAUAUCAUUUUUACAUGGCAAAUACAAUAAUAAAAAAUCUACAUCUGAAUAAAAUGUGUUUGAUGCUCAAUGGAUGAGCUUCAAAACUGGAAAGUUUUCAAAGAGUACAUAUGAUGCAAAACUGUCUUCCAGAGUACAAGUUCAUACCAGAUGGCAUCAUGGUUGUUGCAGCAACAGAUCCCAUUGCACUUGUAAGUUUUGGAGUGUCCAGUUUACUAACAGGAGUUGUUGCAACUCCAGCGGUUUUAGUUGCCAUGAUUUCUUCAGUGCUAGCAGACCCACUCCCUGACUGAGAACCAGUUUGUGAAGAAACAGAUAAAGGACUCGAAAGACGGGAGCCAGGUGGUGUAGUUACAUUGUGGUUCACAGGACUAACAUCAGUAGCUAUUGGCUUUGAGCUUGGUUCCUGGAUGUGAUUGUUUGGCUGUGUCAUGUUUGGCUGUGUCAUGUUAGAGGAGAUAGAAGAAUCCUUUCCAGCCAAGAACAUGAUAGCCUGGGCCUUCUCAGGAGAUAUAUCAUUAUACACAUUCACUGUGCCAGCGUAAAAGAUGGUCAGUUGAGCAGGAGAACCAGAUGUUUUCGCACAUGAUUCCAUCAUCCCAGUAACAGAGCCAAAAGUAGGAAGAAUUGUUUGUGGAGUGGUAACAGGAAUUCCUCCAAGUAAUUGUGGCUUUGCAGUAGCUCCAGCAGUACUCUGACCAGAGGUGGCAUAAUAAUUCUUGAAGAAAGGGUUGCUCAAGGAAAUUGAACUUGCAUGGUUGGAGACUGGAAACAUCUUCAUGUCACGAGGAUGAUGCACAGAAUGCACAUCAUGUUGCACAGGGUAAGCAGUCAAUGUAAAAUGAGUCCCACUUUGCCUAUCGUGAUUGAAUGAUUUCUAUAUGGUAAAAACCAGAAUGAGAAAUAAAAUAUUUGUUGAUAUUAAUAAAAAGUGGGAUUUAAUCUUUUACCAAACAACUAAGACAAGGUCAGUCAUGGAAAUAAUCAUCCAGUUAAUCUUGAAUGGUCAAUGAAAAGAAUACAAUAAAAUUCAUCCCUGCCGAAUUUUUCAACUUGGGGUAACACGAAACAGAAUGGAAAAUUAACAACUAAAUUUCUAAGCAAUACCUCAAAACCUGUUAAACAAGAAGAAAGCCAAAUAGGGAAUAAUAUAACACCUGGAUUUCAGCCAUAAACUGUUUUUGGUUAGGAUCAAAUGAAUCUGCAGUUGAAAUGGACAAGAAUCCAGAGGACACUGAGGAAUCAGUUAAAAACCUUUUGGUCUUAUCUUCUUGAGAAACCAUGAAAGAGUUCAAAUGAGGAAGAGCAGAGACCUUGUUGGAGAAGGGCCAGUGUAUCCCUGAACCCUUGCUAAAUCCUAUCUCUUUGUACCCAUCAGAAUUAACCUCUUCCUUAACCACAGGCAAUGACUCCUUUGAGUUCAGACCCAUAAAAUCUCUCUCCAUUUUACCUCUCCUGCCUCUCAAAAAACGAAUAGAAACACAAAAUUCAACUAAAACCCACCUCAAAAAACUAGUUCAAAAAUCAUAAAUUCACGGAUCAAUCUCUCCACUCCUCUACCAAACCUCAGUUUACAGAGAGGAAACUAGAGAGAGAAAAACCAAAACAAAAGCUUCCAACUACAGCAAA